GGUUAUUGCUAUUCGAAUCCGACUUAGCCAUGCGAGUUUUUGCCGCAAGGCAAAGCGAAUUGCUCAGUAACACGUAGUUAAUCUGCCCUUGGGUCUGGAAUAAUCCUGCUAAAGUGGGGCUAAUACCAGAUGGAUGCCUUUUCCUGGAAUGGUUUGGCAUUGAAAGCCUCGGCGCCCAAGGAUGGGACUGCGGUCGAUCAGGCUGUUGUGAGGGUAAAGUCCUCACAAACCUAUAACCGAUACGGGCCAUGAGAGUGGGAACCCGGAGAUGGAUUCUGAGACAUGAAUCCAGGUCCUACGGGACGCAGCAGGCGCGAAACCUUCGCAAUGUGCGCAAGCACGACGAGGGGAUUCGAAGUGUUAUGGCAUUUUGUGCUGUAACUUUUCCCAAGGUUUAAUCCCUUGGGGAAUAAGUGGUGGGCAAGACGGGUGCCAGCCGCCGCGGUAAUACCUGCGCCACAAGUGAUAGCCAUGUUUAUUGGGCCUAAAGUGUCCGUAGCCGGUUUAGUAUGUUCCUGGUGAAAUCUGACAGCUAACUGUCAGGCGUGCUGGGAAAACUGCUGGACUUGGGACUGGGAAAGGGUAGGAGUAUUUCUAGGGUAGGGGUAAAAUCCUGUAAUCCUAGAAGGACUACCAGUGGCGAAGGCGCCUACCUGGAACAGAUCCGACGGUGAGGGACGAAAGCUAGGGGAGCAAACGGGAUUAGAUACCCCAGUAGUCCUAGCUGUAAACGAUGUGAACUUGGUGUUACCGGUUCUACGGGAACUGGUAGUGCCGAAGCGUAGGUGUUAAGUUCACCGCCUGGGUAGUACGACCGCAAGGUUGAAACUUAAGGGAAUUGGCGGGGGAGCACACAAGGGGUGUAGGCUGCGGUUCAAUUGGAUUCGACGCCGAACAUCUCACCAGGAGCGACAGCAGUAUGAAGGUCAGUCUGAAGGGCUUACCUAACGCGCUGAGAGGAGGUACAUGGCCAUCGCCAGCUCGUACCGUGAGGCGUGCCGUUAAGUCGGUUAACGAGCGAGACCCAUGUCCUAUGUUGCAACCUCAUUCUGCGGAGUGAGGGCACUCAUGGGAGACAGCUGUUGAUAAAACAGAGGAAGGAAUGGGCAACGGUAGGUCAGUAUGCCCCGAAUCUCCCGGGCUACACGCGGCCCUCAAUGGGUAGUACAAUGGGAUGCGACUCCGAAAGGAGAAGCUAAACCCCUAAAACUACUCUCAGUUCGGAUCGAGGGUUGUAACUCACCCUCGUGAAGCUGGAAUCCCUAGUAAGCGAAAGUCACUAUCUUUCGCUGAAUACGUCCCUGCUCCUUGCACACACUGCCCAUCAAGCCAUCCGAGUGGGGUUUAAGUGAGCCUUUCCAAUAUUGGGAAAGUCAAACUAAUUCUCCGCAAGGGGGGCU
RNAcentral lists this ribosomal RNA (1400 nucleotides) under uncultured archaeon. RNAcentral's name for it is "bacterial SSU rRNA". It matches the Rfam family "Archaeal small subunit ribosomal RNA". The record is from RNAcentral.